UCCUCACUCCACUUAACACUUGAAGGAUCUUGAUUGAAGGGAAAAUGUCAGCCAAAUUAAAUCCACCUGCCAAUUCCAUCACUUCCUUCACCAUUUGAAUGAAUUUCUCUUGGUCUUUCAACAAUUCCCCAAAUGCUGCUUUACAUGUGAUUGAGCUCUGGUACCAUAAAAUCCGUUCCGUAACAUUUAUUGGCUCGCCACAUGUCGAUGACUGGAUGAAUUGCACGAGGCCUGAAGCCUCGUCCUUCCUGAUGGAACUAAAGGAUCGUACGUUCUUGGCGGUGAGGAGUUCCAUGACACAUACUUUACGCAUUUGUCUCCAGUAUUCACCAUAAGGAGUAAAUGCGAUGUCCGUGCUCUUGUAACAUAUUGUGUCGACGGAUGCUAAUUUAGGCCUCGAUGCAAAAGCAAGGUCAUGAGUUUUCAGUACCUCCCGGGCCAUAUCCGUAGAUGAAACUAUGACCGUAGAAAUUUCCCCUAGUUGUAGGUGCAUGAGAGGCCCAUAUUUUUUGCUCAAGUUUGUGAGUGCAUGAUGAGGAAGUCCACCUUCUAGUACCAAGUGAUGGAUACUUCCUAAGAAAGGCAAUUUCCAUGGUCCUGGAGGAAGUUUUUUGUUCAAGUUUCUUGAUUUUUUCCUUUGCACAAGUAGUAGAUAGAGGAAUGAUAGGAAAAGAAAUAAGAAAAUGAAAUUGAAUGGAAAUUGGAACUCCAUUAGAUAGCUAAAGCUAAGAGAGGAGUGUCUCUCAAGUUGUAUAUGGCUAUAUUUUGGCCUAUCCUAAUGCCAGAGGGAUAUGAUCCAAGUGUUAGGCUAUCUUUUGGCCUAUCCUUGAAGAUAUUUUCCUUAAAAAUAAGUAGUUUUCUUAUAUAGUUUUUUUUUUUAAUAUUUGAAAAGCAGAAAAAAUGUAAAAUCUAAACAAACACUAUGAAAUAAGAUUGGGGCUGGCGGUGGGCAGGAUUAAAAUGUCGAAACUUGUUUUUUAUGCUUUUAUUAGAAAAACUUUUUUUUCAAUUUUAGAGCGAUAGGAUUUUAAUUACUUAAUACUUAGCUUCUAAUAAGAUUCUGACAUAUAUUACACAGUUCAGGGGCGGAUUUACAUUGAACGAAGGGGUUCAUCCGAACCCCCUUCGUCGAAAAAUUACUAGGAUUAAAUUUUGAAUAUAUGUGUAUAUAUACUAUUGAACCCCCUGAACAUACACCAAAGGCGUAGCUCAGUGGCGUUGGGGGUUCAGGAGUUUUGCUCUACUGCACGCGAGGUCGCGUGUUCGAAUCCGGACAGAGGCAUUUUGUUUUAUCAACUUAUUUCAGACGUUUUAUUUUUUUAAAAUAAAUAAUAAUGCAAUCAGAAAACGAUGUUUAGUUCCAAAAAAUUAAAACGCUGAUUGAGAAUUUAGGAUUUAUUAGUUUAAUCCCUAAUCAUAAAGUCAAAUAUUAAAAAAAUCGUUUCUUCUUGAUUCGACCGUUUAAUCCGACCCGUUUAUAUCCGAUUCGACCCGUUUAUUUAUGGAUAUUAUUUACGUGAUUAAUUUUUUUGAACCCCCUUGAUGAAAAUCCUCCCUCCGCCACUGUUACACACAUAUCAUAUUUUCCAGCCACACGUAGAGCCUCCAAGACGAUCCGUAUUGAUUAAUAGAUCUUCGCGUCCUGCCACAUAUUGCAUGACAAAAUAUCUUUGGUUUUAUUUUGAACAAACUACGAGCUAUACAUUACUCAUGUUAUUUCGUCAGCAGCAUCGUAAGUUUGUGUACUGACCUCAGUAAUAUAAUUCUAAUAACAUUUUAUUACACUUUUUAUGAUAUGUGAUUCAUAUUUGAAGGUGCUACUAUUUUUACGAUAAAAUGUUGAUUUUCAAGCAAUUUUUUUCGUCUUUUAUCAGUAAAACAAAAACAACAUGCAAAUAUUGCAACCGUAUUUCCUUUGUUCUUUAGAUAAACAAUAUGUCCAGCUUUACAUAUUAAUUACCCAUUUCCAAAUUAAAAUUAUAUAUCAAUUAAUAUGAAUAUUAUGAUAAAAUACUCUUAUUAAUUACUCUAUUAAUUUAAAAUGCAUACAAAAUUUAAAGACGACAAAUAAAAUGAGUACAAAUAUAAAUGACGGAAGAAAAUAUCUUUGAUUUCAUUUAGAAUUUACUAAGAAAACAUAAUUAGUUUUAUUUAAAAUCUGUUAAAAUAUUAUCUAUUAACAAUAUAUAAGUGAAAACAAGUUAGCUAUUAAUAUAUAUAUUAAUAUAUAAGUAAGAACAAGCCAACAACUAAUGAUCAAACAGACAUAUUGUCCAUCAACGGUGUGUUUAUCCAUACUUAUAUAUUAGUAGUGGAAGUGGAUAGUGGAUAUUUGACUUUUAAUGCAUCAAUAAUGCCAUCUUUUCUGAGAAAAUGAUAUAAAUAAUCUCUUAACUAUAUGAGUAGGUCUAAAAUGGUCCUUUAACUAUAUACUUAACGGAUUUAGUCCUUUAAUUAUAUCGGUUUUAGUUCCUUAACUAUAAACUUAUCGAUUUUAGUCCUUUAAAUAUUUAAAAACUUAUCAGGUUUGGUCUUUGUCCAUUUUUAAAAUACAAAUAGCUUAGGUUUAUAUUAACGGAAAUCUUCGUGAAAUUGUAUCUUUAACCCAUUUUUAAAGUUGUUUCUCUAUCCCCACCAUUUUUCUUCAAACUACUCUUAUGAAAAGAACAAUAACGUCAACGAUUCAAAAUAAAAUUAAUGAGGAAAGAAGAUAUAAGUCCUUAUUUUAUUCAAUGGAGGAUAAAAUUAAACAUAUAAUUGUUGUUAAUGACUUGAAUCCACACUUGAAUAUGCUAAUCAAUGCGGAUUUUAUUUAAUUUCAUCAAAAUAAAAUUAAUGAGGAAAGAAGAUAUAAGUCCUUAUUUUAUUCAAUGGAGGAUAAAAUUAAACAUAUAAUUGUUGUUAAUGACUUGAAUCCACACUUGAAUAUGCUAAUCAAUGCGGAUUUUAUUUAAUUUCACAAAUUUAUUUACGUAAAAUAAAAUGAAUAGAAUAAUAAAAUUGAUCUAUUUAAAAAAAUUGCAAAUCUACCAUGCAUUUUAUAAAUUUCAAUUUCUGAAAAAUUAAACAAAUUUCGUUCAAUAAAAUCGUUGGAGUACAAACUUUGAAUUUUAUGAUUAAUAUUUUUUUUCUUUUUAUAAUAAAGUUAAGCAUAUUCAAGUCAUUAGUAGCAAUAAUAUGCUUCAUUUUAUCCUCUGUUGAAUAAAAUUAUGACUUAUAUUUUCUUUCCUCGUGAAUUUUAUUUUAAAUCAUUGAGGUUAAGGUUCUUCGCAUAAGGUUAAUUUGAAGUAAAAGUAGCGGAGAGAGACAAAUAAUAGAAAAAAUUGCUAAAGGAUUUAAUUUCUCGAGGCAUGAAUUCCGUUAAUAUAAACCUAAGCUAUUUGUAUUAAGAAAAUGGACAAAGACCAAACCUGAUAAGUUUUUGAAUACUUAAAUGACUAAAAUCGGUAUGUUUAUAGUUAAGGGAUUAAAAUCAGUAAGUGUAUAGUUAAGAGACCAAAACUGAUAAGUUUAUAAAUAGUUAAAGAACUAAAUCCGUUAACUGUAUAGUUAAGGGAUCAUUUUAGACCCAUUCUUAUAGUUAAGAAACUAUUUAUGUCAUUUUCUCCAUCUUUUCUUAUAGAGAAAAUACAUCAAAUCACAUUUAAACUUAACAACAAAAGUUACUUUGACACUUUAAUUAUACUGAUGUUUAUUUAUCCCUUAACAAAUUUUAAAUGAAUUAAAUACGGCCUUAGGGGGUGACGUGAUAGAGAGAGUGAACCUACUCUCCUAAAAGCGUGUGAAGAAAGAAAAAAGAAAAGCUGAAAUUACAAGAUUAUGUGUCAUUUUUUUUAUCGGCCAACAUAUAAAUAAUAUUUUUAAUCUUUUUUUCUUAAUAUAUUAACUUUUUUAAAAUAUGUGAAUUUUCUUAUAGAGAUAAUGGAAUUUAUGAAUCCCAUUUAAAAUAAAGUUUUAACUUUAUUCUCUUUAAUUGUUAUUGACAUCGAUUUUAUGAAAUUCAGUACUAACAUCAUUGUUACAGCCAUUAAUUCCACAACAUCCACUACCAAUAGCAAUAAUAAUGGAGAAGAAUGGAGCGAUGAGGAAUACACAUUCCUAAAUAAUCGAUUUUACAAUAUCUACAUCGAUUCACAAUCAAUACCCAUUAAGAACACACAUUCAUAGAUCCAUAUUUUUAAUUAAUGUUCUUGCAGCUUCAAUCUCACCAAUAAAAUUAGUGAAUGAAGAUCGUAUAAGAAAGUUGAAAGAUCCAUAUUUUUUGCAUCACUAAUAAUAGAAGCUCAAAAUAUGGGUUACUUAAAAUUCAAGAAAAAUUACAUUUAUAAAAUAUAAGCAUCAAGAUUUUACUUAUGAUUUUUGGUAGAAAUCUUGUUGAUAAAAUGUAUGAAGCUUGAGACUAUAGCUAAAGAAACUGUUGUUGAAAGAAAUUAGAUUCAAUUUUCGGUUGGCAUUGUUGAAAUGAUUUAUCUUCAAUUUUUGAUUGCCAUUACUGAGGAUUUACCUCCAAUUUGGUACUGAUGAUAAAGCUCUUUGUUAAAUAAAUGAGCCAACAUAAGUUUUGAAAUUAAUUAGUUUAGUGUAUAUAAGUUAAAAAAAGAUAUAUUUAAAGAAAACGAAAAAAUGGUGAAUAAACAGUAAGAAAUAAAAAAUUAAUGAUGUGAUGCUUAGAUGGCUAUGACGUCAUGCUUAUAUUGCUAUGACAUGGCGGGUGAGAGUAGUAUUUUAAUCUGAGGGUGGUAUUUAAUUCAUUUGAAAGUUAAGAGGGUAAAUAAAUGUCCGUAUAAUCAAAGUGCUAAAGUAAACAAUUCAUUCUAUGCAACGAGUAUCUUUGGGAUGACUUAGCCUAAUAUAACACAUUCAGACCAAUGAACAGUCCUUGUUAUUUUGUGAAUGCUUGAGCUUGUACCAUGCAAACUUAGCCAUGCAUUUCCUGAAACUAGAGUACUAGACAUAAACUGAUCAAUGAAUUUCUCUUGAUCUUUCAACAAUUCCCCAAAUGCUGCUUUGCAUGUAUUUGAGCUCUGGUACCAUGAAACCCGUUUUGUAACAUUUAUCGGCUCGCUACGUGUUGAUGACCGGAUGAACUGCACGAGGCGUGAAGCCUCGUCCCGCCUGAUGGAACUAAAGUACCGUACGUUCUUGGAAGUGAAAAGUUCUAAUACGCAUACUUUGCGCAUCUGUCUCCAGUAUUCACCAUAAGGAGUAAAUGCGAUGUCCAUGCUCUUGUAACAUAUUAUGUCGAUGGAUGCUAAUUUAGGCCUUGAUGCAAAAGCAAG
This 5279-nucleotide long non-coding RNA is filed under the name Solanum tuberosum (potato). RNAcentral describes it as "long non-coding RNA (STUB_LNC010256)". Lineage: Eukaryota; Viridiplantae; Streptophyta; Magnoliopsida; Solanales; Solanaceae. The record is from RNAcentral.